UACGUAGGGUGCGAGCGUUGUCCGGAAUUAUUGGGCGUAAAGAGCUCGUAGGCGGUUUGUCGCGUCUGCCGUGAAAGUCCGGGGGCUCAACUCCGGAUCUGCGGUGGGUACGGGCAGACUAGAGUGAUGUAGGGGAGACUGGAAUUCCUGGUGUAGCGGUGAAAUGCGCAGAUAUCAGGAGGAACACCGAUGGCGAAGGCAGGUCUCUGGGCAUUAACUGACGCUGAGGAGCGAAAGCAUGGGGAGCGAACAGG
RNAcentral lists this ribosomal RNA (254 nucleotides) under uncultured bacterium. RNAcentral describes it as "partial 16S ribosomal RNA". It matches the Rfam family "Bacterial small subunit ribosomal RNA", at positions 524 to 776 of the family's 1533-position model. The record is from RNAcentral.